UUGUCGCUCUCUGUGAGAUGCAGGUCCUGUGCAGGUAUCUGCAAAUGAAGAUGCAGGGAUCUACAGCCUGAUCCCUUAUGUAUCAUCCAAAUCUAUACUAUCAGGUCCUUUUGAAGAAAAUGGAAAGUCAUCUGAAAAUGAGAAUUCUGAUAUGUACCGCGUAUACAGCCCAAUCCUCGACAGACCAGCAACCUCAGCCCAGCCGGAUGGGUUGUACAGUCUUCUGCAGACACACUGACACUACACCACUGGCUUUCUGUAGCUAUGUAUGUGUGUGUAUGUGUGUCUCACAGAAAUACUUUUUCUUGCAGUAUGUCCUUUAUUUAUCAAACAUCAUGUUACUGUAAAUAAGUAUCUAAAUCAUCUACUGCAGUGCCGUUUCUAUUCAUAAGUGAAAUAAGCGGCCGCUAAAGGCCCCCCCUCCCCCCCAAAAAAGUUGGGAAGUCAGUCGGGGUCUCAACAUACUGUUACUUAGGAUAGUAGCAUACACAACGUGCAGUUUCGAAAUGUGGUUCCGCAUCAGCAAUUUUCCUCUUGUUAUGUCAGUCAUAGACAGUCACUCAAUUAGCCCAUAUCAGCUAACAUUUUAUAGAUAGCUGGCGAGACCAACUUGCCUAGCAAUCUAAGCCUUGUAGUAAUGGGCGAAUUACUGCCCAGGGGCCUGACCUACAGGGGGCCCCAAUUGAUUUUGUUAGUCACUCUCACUCAGAUAUCAAAUGAACAUGGCAUAAGUCAUGGCAAAAUGUGUAGAAUUGCAGGAAAUGAUCUAUAAAAUGUCUAAAAUGUCUCUCCAUCCCAUUGCACAAUGUGUAGAAUUGCAGGAAAUUAGCUUUAUAAUUGCAACUUUCUCUCCGCCCCAUGGCAAAAUGAGUAGAAUUGCAUGACAUUAACUGUAAAGCUGCACAGUUAAAUUGAUUUAAAUUAAGUCAUUAAGAUCCAAGGUGGAAUUUUCUAAAAACAAAUGCAGAAAUUCUCCAUGUUUUUUUAUGAAAAAUAUGAAACUGCUUGGCCAUAAUGACCAUUGUUAUGUUUGGAGGAAAAAGGGGGAGGCUUGCAAGCCAAAGAACACCAUCCCAACCGUGAAGCACGGGGGUGGCAGAAUCAUGUUGUGGGGGUGCUUUGCUGCAGGAGGGACUGGUGCACUUCACAAAAUAGAUGGCAUCAUGAGGCAGGAAAAUUAGGUGGAUAUAUUGAAGCAACAUCUCAAGACAUCAGUCAGGAAGUUAAAGCUUGGUCGCAAAUGGAUCUUCCAAAUGGACAUUGACCCCAAGCAUACUUCCAAAGUUGUGGCAAAAUGGCUUAAGGACAUCAAAGUCAAGGUAUUGCAGCUGGACUUGUACCUGGCAACCAUCCACCCGGCUCCUUUGGGCCGUGAGAGGGUGUCCGCCCUCAUCUCGUGCCUCAUCGGGAAAGCAGAUCGGGGUCUGUUGGUUCCAUCCUCCUGCACCCAAUACCCAUGGGUACUCUCCGAUACCCAUGGAGCUGGGAGGGGCGGUGCGCAGGGAGACUGGAGGGGGUUCCAGCUCACUUUUUCCCCGCAUUUUUCCCCGCAUUCCCAGCAU
Molecule: long non-coding RNA, 1562 nt
Organism: Salmo salar (Atlantic salmon)
Lineage: Eukaryota; Metazoa; Chordata; Actinopteri; Salmoniformes; Salmonidae
Source: RefSeq, a predicted model, not a curated record